Molecule: ribosomal RNA, 227 nt
Filed under: uncultured bacterium
Lineage: Bacteria
Description: partial 16S ribosomal RNA
Rfam family: Bacterial small subunit ribosomal RNA
Source: RNAcentral
UACGUAGGGGGCUAGCGUUGUCCGGAAUCACUGGGCGUAAAGGGUUCGCAGGCGGAAAUGCAAGUCAGAUGUAAAAGGCAGUAGCUUAACUACUGUAAGCAUUUGAAACUGGAUAUCUUGAGUACAGUAGAGGUAAGUAGAAUUUUUAGUGUAGCGGUGAAAUGCGUAGAUAUUAAGAAGAAUACCGGUGGCGAAGGCGACUUCCUGGGCUCAUUCUGACGCUCAGG